GGGCCCGCACAAGCGGCGGAGCAUGUGGCUUAAUUCGAUGCAACGCGAAGAACCUUACCUGGGUUUGACAUGCAUGGUAAUCCUUCAGAGAUGGAGGGUCCUUCGGGGCCGUGUACAGGUGGUGCAUGGCUGUCGUCAGCUCGUGUCGUGAGAUGUUGGGUUAAGUCCCGCAACGAGCGCAACCCUUGUUCCAUGUUGCCAGCACGUGAUGGUGGGGACUCAUGGGAGACUGCCGGGGUCAACUCGGAGGAAGGUGGGGAUGACGUCAAGUCAUCAUGCCCCUUAUGUCCAGGGCUGCACACAUGCUACAAUGGCUCAUACAGAGGGCUGCGAUGCUGUGAGGCUGAGCGAAUCCCUUAAAGUGAGUCUCAGUUCGGAUCGGGGUCUGCAACUCGACCCCGUGAAGUCGGAGUCGCUAGUAAUCGCAGAUCAGCAACGCUGCGGUGAAUACGUUCCCGGGCCUU
RNAcentral lists this ribosomal RNA (464 nucleotides) under uncultured bacterium. Its description in RNAcentral is "bacterial SSU rRNA". It matches the Rfam family "Bacterial small subunit ribosomal RNA", at positions 917 to 1382 of the family's 1533-position model. The record is from RNAcentral.